Molecule: ribosomal RNA, 96 nt
Filed under: uncultured bacterium
Lineage: Bacteria
Description: partial 16S ribosomal RNA
Rfam family: Bacterial small subunit ribosomal RNA
Source: RNAcentral
ACCGCCCGUCACACCAUGGGAGUUGGCUUUACCUGAAGCCGGUGCGCUAACCCGCAAGGGAGGCAGCCGACCACGGUGGAAUCAGCGACUGGGGUG